AGGACCUUGAACACCCUUCUUUAACUUGUCUAUAAGUCUGUCUUUGCAGAAACAGAUGCCUGUACAACUGAGAAUCCUUCAGCUAAUUGAAGCACAAAAUUCUUGGAGGUGGAAAGAUGGUGGUGAUGGUGGUAGUACUGGGGUGUCAUCACACUUUGAGCUGCUGUGACAGUUUACUGCUGGAAUAACUCCAUCCCAAAAUUAUUACUGU
Molecule: long non-coding RNA, 211 nt
Filed under: Homo sapiens (human)
Lineage: Eukaryota; Metazoa; Chordata; Mammalia; Primates; Hominidae
Description: HSALNT0308005
Source: RNAcentral